Long non-coding RNA from Salarias fasciatus (jewelled blenny), 543 nucleotides. RefSeq lists it as uncharacterized. The record is from RefSeq and is a predicted model, not a curated record. NCBI's taxonomy places the organism in Eukaryota, Metazoa, Chordata, Actinopteri, Blenniiformes, Blenniidae. The transcript has 3 exons.
CACAGGCUGAAGGCGGCGGGGAAAUCAUCUGGAACAUGAUGGAAAUGUGUCAGGGGGGAGAUCCUGUGGGGGCUUCGUUCUGAGAGGGAAGAGUGGAUGACACACUGUUUCUGCAGGCUUUCCAAAAGCACUCAUGUGUCCAUUAGAUGUGCGUUUUGUUUGCUGCUGACGGCCUUGUGAUGAAGCCGGAUCACCGCUGCAUUAUUCCCUCUAUAGACAGAGGUGCACUUUCCUGGAUACCGAGUCUGAUUCAUCAACACCAGCCUGAAACCCAUUCAUGCGUCUGAAGCCGCAGGUGUUACCAGCGUGUAGCUGUAGAGGAAAAUAAGUGUGAACGUCAGGAGAAAAUAUUCCCGGUUUGAUCAGCGGAGCAGACUCUAAUGCAAUAACAGGCUGUUUUCAACGUCCCAAACCCCUGAAGGUGUUGAUGGUCCAUCAUUACUGCUGGAGCUGCUGCACUCUCGUUUUCCUACUUUUCUUCUCUUCAUAGAAACCUGUGAUCUUUGAACUGUGAUGCCUUUUGAUUAAAACAGAGAAUAAUUU